AUUGAACGCUGGCGGAAUGCUUUACACAUGCAAGUCGAACGGCAGCACGGACUUCGGUCUGGUGGCGAGUGGCGAACGGGUGAGUAAUACAUCGGAACGUGCCCAGUCGUGGGGGAUAACGUAGCGAAAGCUACGCUAAUACCGCAUACGAUCUACGGAUGAAAGCGGGGGAUCGCAAGACCUCGCGCGAUUGGAGCGGCCGAUGGCAGAUUAGGUAGUUGGUAGGGUAAAGGCCUACCAAGCCGACGAUCUGUAGCUGGUCUGAGAGGAUGAUCAGCCACACAGGGACUGAGACACGGCGCAGACUCCUACGGGAGGCAGCAGUGGGGAAUUUUGGACAAUGGACGCAAGUCUGAGCCAGCCAUUCCGCGUGCAGGAUGAAGGCCCUCGGGUUGUAAACUGCUUUUGUACAGAACGAAAAGGCUCUGGUUAAUACCUGGGGCUCAUGACGGUACUGUAAGAAUAAGCACCGGCUAACUACGUGCCAGCCGCCGCAGUAA
This 500-nucleotide ribosomal RNA is filed under the name uncultured bacterium. Its description in RNAcentral is "partial 16S ribosomal RNA". It matches the Rfam family "Bacterial small subunit ribosomal RNA", at positions 30 to 523 of the family's 1533-position model. The record is from RNAcentral.